AGAGUUUGAUCAUGGCUCAGGACGAACGCUGGCGGCGUGCUUAACACAUGCAAGUCAAGGGGGCCCGCAAGGGCAACCGGCGAACGGGUGCGUAACACGUGAGCGACCUGCCUGAGUGCGGGGGAUAGCCGGCCCAACGGCCGGGUAAUACCGCAUACGCUUCUUGAGAGGCAUCUCUUGGGAAGGAAACUUUCGAGGCACUCAGAGGGGCUCGCGGCCUAUCAGCUAGUUGGCGGGGUCAUGGCCCACCAAGGCGACGACGGGUAGCUGGUCUGAGAGGAUGGCCAGCCACAUUGGGACUGAGAAACGGCCCAGACUCCUACGGGAGGCAGCAGUGGGGAAUCUUGCGCAAUGGCCGAAAGGCUGACGCAGCGACGCCGCGUGUGGGAGGAAGCUCUUCGGGGUGUAAACCACUGUUGCCCGGGACGAACAUGGUCUUUCGAGGCCACUGACGGUACCGGGUGAGGAAGCACCGGCUAACUCUGUGCCAGCAGCCGCGGUAAUACAGAGGGUGCGAGCGUUGUCCGGAAUCACUGGGCGUAAAGGGCGCGUAGGCGGCUCGGUAAGCGUGCGGUGAAAGCCCGGGGCUCAACCCCGGGUCGGCCGUGCGAACUGGCGAGCUGGAGCACUGUAGAGGCAGGUGGAAUUCCGGGUGUAGCGGUGGAAUGCAGAGAUCCGGAAGAACACCGGUGGCGAAGGCGGCCUGCUGGGCAGUNNCUGACGCUGAGGCGCGACAGCGUGGGGAGCAAACAGGAUUAGAUACCCUAGUAGUCC
RNAcentral lists this ribosomal RNA (774 nucleotides) under uncultured bacterium. RNAcentral's name for it is "bacterial SSU rRNA". It matches the Rfam family "Bacterial small subunit ribosomal RNA", at positions 8 to 796 of the family's 1533-position model. The record is from RNAcentral.